CCUUCGAGGGAAUAACCUGGAUUAUGGCCAAUACUUUCUACUUCUAAUAGUCUUCCAGUUUCAUUGUUCACAAGGGGUUGGUAAACAAAAAUCAAUGAAAAGAGCAGGGUCUUCUCUAUUUUGGAUUUGGACACUGAUGAUGAAGCUGUGAUAUUCUGAUCCAGGACUCAAUGGCUCCUCCUGGAUCUUCUAACAAGGUCAAUCUGGCUGAGUUCCAGACAGUCAGCUGAUGGUCUCAUAUGAGGAAUCUAAAGUUGAUGAAGAUGGUGGUAGUAGAGUGGUGUAAUCCUCAUAGCUCAAAAACGAUCAGAGCUCAUUAAUUAUUAACUAACUAGAACUUUUAUGGCUCAUUAGCUACUGGUUAAAUGUCAGUGGGCUGCCUUGUGCCUGGGUCUGAAGAGAAGAGGAAGAAAGAGGGGAGUCUGAUGGACAAAGCUCUGUGGAGGACGUGGCACUGAGCAGAAACUUGAAACAGAGCUUGACUGGCUGGCAGGAUGAGAAGAAUGGACUCUUGGCUGAAGGGGAAGCAAGCACAAGCACAUAGAGAUGAGGAAGCAUGGGUGGUGGUAUAUAGGGCUUGGUGUGUUAAUCAAACUGUCAGCAAAGGAAAAAAAAAAGAAGAAGAAGAAAGGGCACAUUCUAUCCAAAUGAAGAAAAAUCUGAGCUUUCUACAACAAACACAUUUUCCAGUGGAUGAGCUUCUCACACAGUAAUUAUUUCACUUCUCCCAGAGAUUACUGAUUACAUCACACAGAAAAACUAAAUGAGGGCUGUUUUAUCUUUCUCAUCUCUCUGUGGUUCUUGUGCAAACUUAUACUUGUUAUCAUGAAAAAUGACAAAUUUGCCAUCUGAUCAAAAUGUUAACAAGGUAACUGUCAGUGAGAUGGAUCUCUGACUGUCACUGCAAGCCAGAACAUGAGGAUACAUUGAUAUUUCUCAAUACAGCCCCUGCUUCCCCAACGUUCACUAACUACAUUUCCACAGUAAGGUAAUAAAUCACUCAGAAAUAACGAGCUAUAUAGGAUCUCUGGGGUAUGAUAGAUGUGUCCUAACAGCACUAUCUGCAAGAUAGAAAACAAUUGAUAAUGAUCUAAAGAA
This 1098-nucleotide long non-coding RNA is filed under the name Homo sapiens (human). Its description in RNAcentral is "HSALNT0312041". The record is from RNAcentral. Lineage: Eukaryota; Metazoa; Chordata; Mammalia; Primates; Hominidae.